GGUUUCUUAGUGAAGUGGUUAUCACGACAGACUCUGAAUCUGUAGUCUCGAGUUCGAAUCUCGGAGAGACCU
This is a non-coding RNA of Globomyces pollinis-pini, 72 nucleotides long. The record is from the annotation of a GenBank genome assembly. NCBI's taxonomy places the organism in Eukaryota, Fungi, Chytridiomycota, Chytridiomycetes, Rhizophydiales, Globomycetaceae.